GGUUCCUUGGCUCAGUCUGGUUAGAGCGUUCCGUUGAUAACGGAGAGGUCGCAGGUUCAAAUCCUGCAGGAACCA
Non-coding RNA from Acanthaster planci (crown-of-thorns starfish), 75 nucleotides. The record is from the annotation of a RefSeq genome assembly. NCBI's taxonomy places the organism in Eukaryota, Metazoa, Echinodermata, Asteroidea, Valvatida, Acanthasteridae.